GUAGUCAUACGCUCGUCUCAAAGAUUAAGCCCAUGCAUGUGUAAGUGUAAAUUGUUAAGUUUGGAACUGCGAAUGGCUCAUUAUAUCAGUUAUAGUUUAUUUGGUGAAGUGUACUACUUGGAUAACCGAGAAGUAAUUCUAGGGCUAAUACAUGAGAAAGUCCUCUGGUGAGGUGUGUUUAUUAGAAUGAAAACCAUAUGCUUCUUUCCUGAUAGUGAGUAAUAGUAACCUAUCGUAUCGCAUGCUUAAUGUAGCGAUGAGUCUUUCAGUUCUGUCUAUCAGCUUUCGAUGGUGUUAUGGGCCUACCUGGCAUACCGGAACGAAA
Molecule: ribosomal RNA, 325 nt
Filed under: Blastocystis sp.
Lineage: Eukaryota; Bigyra; Opalinata; Blastocystidae
Description: SSU rRNA
Rfam family: Eukaryotic small subunit ribosomal RNA
Source: RNAcentral